RNAcentral lists this long non-coding RNA (1105 nucleotides) under Neogobius melanostomus (round goby). RNAcentral's name for it is "lncRNA (ENSNMLG00000003948.1)". The record is from RNAcentral. Lineage: Eukaryota; Metazoa; Chordata; Actinopteri; Gobiiformes; Gobiidae.
GACACAAUCACGGAAUACGGCACCUUUUUUAGAAGCAUUAAAAUUCUUAUUUGAAUCAAAUACAAAUCCUGCGCUGACUGGGUGAAGUGAACUCGUUAAUUAUUUUGGUAGCUUUGGACACUUUUUAAUUUGGGACCACAGGGUAAGUAGAUAUUUUCAAAGGCACUUAUAUAAUAAUAAUAAUCCAUUAAAAUCCACAAGAAUAACUAUUACUAACUUUAUUUACAGAUGCAGAGAGAAGUUUACUUGGCUCACUGUUGGGUUUCUCCUCCUGGAGAGGGACAAAGCUCUUGCACUUUGGAAAGUCAACAGAGCACGUGCAGUGACUGAGCAUCUUGUUUGGGAGAGGUUUUUAACAGCGCAUGACCAGUGUGAACUCCCUUCGUACAGGCUUUGGAUGAACCAAGAAGUGGCUUGUGCCUGUCUGUGGUAAGAUGACACCUCUAACGCUUUAAUACGACAUCUGCAAAAUGUUAAGUAUAAAAUACCAUAUUUAUUCAAAGUCACAGGAUAUUUACAACACCAAUGUCUCGUGUGGCAAUUUGUUCCCAGAACCUAUGUGGAAAAAAAUAAAUAUUUUGCUGAUAAAGUGGAAUGGGAUUGUCAUUUUUCUCUCCGUGUAAUAAAGCACUUCCACAGAGUCUGUUUGUACAACAUUCAUAGUCGCAGUGGUCUUCAUAUAUUCACGUUUGCCUGGUCCUAUAAGUGCUCCCCUUGCAAAUAUUUCAUGUCUGCGCAGAGGCAUGUGUGAAAGGGGCCGCUCUCCUUCAGGGGCCCACAGCUCAAGCCGAAGCCGGGCCUCGAGCUGAGUUUGACCUGCCUCAGCCUGACACCGGACUGCGUGGUCUGGAAGAUCUGUGAACAGAGAAGAGAGUACAUUUAUUGGUAGGCUAUUCAUAAAUGGACAUAUAAACAUGCAGGGGAAAACUGUGCAGUAACAUGUGUUUGAUGCCAACACUUUGGAGAUGAAUGCUACAUAUUGUCAUUAUCAAAGACCUACUGCAGGUAUUUUCCUUUUUGUUUUGUUUCAACAUUAAUCACCAAGAAGAUAGUUAAUUCACUUAGACGAAUAAAUAUACCAGUAAUGAGCUUACCGUGCAAUGUU